This 366-nucleotide ribosomal RNA is filed under the name uncultured bacterium. RNAcentral's name for it is "partial 16S ribosomal RNA". It matches the Rfam family "Bacterial small subunit ribosomal RNA", at positions 92 to 526 of the family's 1533-position model. The record is from RNAcentral.
UCAUUGGCGGACGGGUGAGUAAAGCUUGGGAAUCUAGCUUGUGGAGGUGGAUAAAUCAGAGAAACUGUGUCUAAUACCGCGUACCAUAAGAUGAGCCCAAGUGGGAUUAGGUAGUUGGUGAGUUAAAGGAUCACCAAGCCGACGAUCGCUAGCUGGUCUGAUAGGAUGACCAGUCACAAGGGGAUGUAGACACGUCGCAGACUAUGACGUGAGGCAGCAGUGGGGAAUAUUGCGAAAGGGAGGAAACCUGACGCAGCAAUGCCGCGUGAGUGAAGAAGGCCUUCGGGUUGUAAAGGUCUUUCGGUAGCGAGGCGUUAACUACAGAAGAAGCACCGGCUAACUCCGUGCCAGCAGCCGCGGUAAUAC